Molecule: ribosomal RNA, 305 nt
Filed under: uncultured bacterium
Lineage: Bacteria
Description: bacterial SSU rRNA
Rfam family: Bacterial small subunit ribosomal RNA
Source: RNAcentral
UGUGACCUACGGGGCGCAGCAGUGGGGAAUAUUGCACAAUGGGGGGAACCCUGAUGCAGCGACGCCGCGUGGGUGAAGGAGCACCUCGGUGCGUAAAGCCCUAUCGGCAGGGAAGAAAAGCGAACAGGGUCGCCUGGACGGUACCUGACUAAGAAGCCCCGGCUAACUACGUGCCAGCAGCCGCGGUAAUACGUAGGGGGCAAGCGUUAUCCGGAUUUACUGGGGGUAAAGGGGGCGCAGACGGCGAUGCAAGCCAGGAGUGAAAGCCCGGGGCCCAACCCCGGGACUGCUCUUGGAACAGCGUG